CUACGGGGUGCAGCAGUGAGGAAUAUUGCACAAUGGGGGGAACCCUGAUGCAGCAACGCCGCGUGGAGGAUGACGCAUUUCGGUGUGUAAACUCCUUUUAUAUGUCAAGAAAAUGACGGUAGCAUAUGAAUAAGCACCGGCUAACUCCGUGCCAGCAGCCGCGGUAAUACGGAGGGUGAAAGCGUUACUCGGAAUCACUGGGCGUAAAGGACGCGUAGGCGGGCUUGUAAGUCAGGUGUGAAAUCCUACAGCUUAACUGUAGAACUGCACUUGAAACUACGAGCCUAGAGUAUGGGAGGGGGAGAUGGAAUUAGUGGUGUAGGGGUAAAAUCCGUAGAUAUCACUAGGAAUACCUAAAGCGAAGGCGAUCUCCUGGAACAUAACUGACGCUAAGGCGUGAAAGCGUGGGGAGCAAACAGGAUUAGAUACCCCCGUAGUC
RNAcentral lists this ribosomal RNA (439 nucleotides) under uncultured bacterium. RNAcentral describes it as "partial 16S ribosomal RNA". It matches the Rfam family "Bacterial small subunit ribosomal RNA", at positions 339 to 795 of the family's 1533-position model. The record is from RNAcentral.